RNAcentral lists this unclassified non-coding RNA (324 nucleotides) under Herpotrichiellaceae sp. RNAcentral describes it as "partial contains 5.8S ribosomal RNA, internal transcribed spacer 2, and large subunit ribosomal RNA". The stretch from base 1 to 71 matches the Rfam family "5.8S ribosomal RNA", at positions 84 to 154 of the family's 154-position model. Lineage: Eukaryota; Fungi; Ascomycota; Eurotiomycetes; Chaetothyriales; Herpotrichiellaceae. The record is from RNAcentral.
GUGAGUCAUCGAAUCUUUGAACGCACAUUGCGCCCUUUGGCAUUCCGAAGGGCAUGCCUGUUCGAGCGUCAUUAUCACCCCUCAAGCCCCCGGCUUGGUGUUGGAUGGUCAGGCGUCGGCCCUUUCAGGGCCUGUCGUCCCUCCCAAAGACAAUGACGGCGGCUUCGUUGUGACCCCGGUACAAUGAGUCUUUUUAGACACGUACUGGACAAGGACACGCGAGACACGGUCUCCUCUCCCGCAAGGGAGAACCCUUUAUCUCAAGGUUGACCUCGGAUCAGGUAGGAAUACCCGCUGAACUUAAGCAUAUCAAUAAGCGGAGGA